GCAAAUUAUGGCUCACAACAAAGAUCAGUAAACUAGCCAUUAUAUAUACAUUGUUUCCUUAAUGUGGACUAUGUAUGACAUACAGAUAACAAUCAAAGCAGGGACAGCAACAAGAGGCAAUGACUCGAAUGUCCUUACUCUGGUUGAGCGAAAAUGAACAAGGUCUUAACACCACGCGUACUUUAGGCUUAUAACAGAUGAAGCUCACGAAGUUCAGAAGUAGUAUAAUCAAAGCACAUACAGAGCUGUACAAGUAUAUUUCUCGUAGAGAAGUUCCCGUAUCAGCUCAAACACAGAGUUGCUGAUAAUCGAUCAUGACAGCUUGUCAAUAUUGAUUGAUUGAGUUAGAAGACUUCCAAACUGAAUAUCAAGCCAUUUGCUUGCAAUACCUUGAGUGGACAGAUAGUGAAGUAUGUCCAUCACAUCGUUCAAACUAUUAAUGAACACCUUAACUCAACCGAUCUCUGUUCUUUUCAAUCCCUG
This 483-nucleotide unclassified non-coding RNA is filed under the name Hevea brasiliensis (rubber tree). Lineage: Eukaryota; Viridiplantae; Streptophyta; Magnoliopsida; Malpighiales; Euphorbiaceae. The record is from RNAcentral.